This 76-nucleotide transfer RNA is filed under the name Thyrsites atun (snoek). Its description in RNAcentral is "tRNA-Asn". The record is from RNAcentral. Lineage: Eukaryota; Metazoa; Chordata; Actinopteri; Scombriformes; Gempylidae.
UAGACAGAUGCUUAUAUGGUUGAAGCGGUUAGUUGUUACCUAGCACGAUUUGUGGGAUCGAAGCCCUCCUGUCUAG